UGGUUCUGGCAUCGAUGAAGAACGCAGCGAAAUGCGAUAAGUAAUGUGAAUUGCAGAAUUCAGUGAAUCAUCGAAUCUUUGAACGCACAUUGCGCCCUUUGGCAUUCCGAGGGGCAUGCCCGUUCGAGCGUCAUUAAAUCCAAUCAAGCCUGGCUUGGUCUUGGGCGUCGGGGGGUCCCGCGCCUCAAUUUCACCGGCUGACCGCGUCUGUCUUUUAGCGUUGUGACACCAUUUUCGUUAAGAGCAGGGUCGGACCACGCCGCUAAAGUCUACAAAUUUCGAUCGAAAUUUGAUUAGGUUGACCUCGGAUCGGGUAGGGAUACCCGCUGA
RNAcentral lists this unclassified non-coding RNA (330 nucleotides) under uncultured fungus. RNAcentral describes it as "partial contains 5.8S ribosomal RNA and internal transcribed spacer 2". The stretch from base 1 to 133 matches the Rfam family "5.8S ribosomal RNA", at positions 22 to 154 of the family's 154-position model. The record is from RNAcentral. Lineage: Eukaryota; Fungi.